GACGAACGCUGGCGGCGUGCUUAACACAUGCAAGUCGAACGGAAAGGCCCUGCUUGUGUGGGGUGCUCGAGUGGCGAACGGGUGAGUAACACGUGAGUAACCUGCCCUUGACUUUGGGAUAACUUCAGGAAACUGGGGCUAAUACCGGAUAGGAGCUCCUGCUGCAUGGUGGGGGUUGGAAAGUUUCGGCGGUUGGGGAUGGACUCGCGGCUUAUCAGCUUGUUGGUGGGGUAGUGGCUUACCAAGGCUUUGACGGGUAGCCGGCCUGAGAGGGUGACCGGCCACCUUGGGACUGAGAUACGGACCAGACUCCUACGGGAGGCAGCAGUGGGGAAUAUUGCACAAUGGGCGGAAGCCUGAUGCAGCAACGCCGCGUGCGGGAUGACGGCCUUCGGGUUGUAAACCGCUUUCGCCUGUGACGAAGCGUGAGUGACGGUAAUGGGUAAAGAAGCACCGGCUAACUACGUG
RNAcentral lists this ribosomal RNA (468 nucleotides) under uncultured bacterium. Its description in RNAcentral is "partial 16S ribosomal RNA". It matches the Rfam family "Bacterial small subunit ribosomal RNA", at positions 28 to 507 of the family's 1533-position model. The record is from RNAcentral.